CGCUAAUUCAUACAGGUGACUAGUUACUUGAUCAGUUUCACUACUUUGCUUAUUAGACUAAUUAGAUUCAAGGUGUUUAAGUAGCAUUUUUAUUUACUGGAGAUGGUUGUCUUACUUUCACAAAGAUUAUAUUAUAUUUUAACUUUCUUUCAAACUUUUCCUUUGCAUUGAUUGGGAAGUAAUACCUUGUCUCUUCCAAACGGAGAGAGCUAAUCAUCCAUCUGUCUUUGUUUUGUAAUUCAAUUAAUGAUUGAUUUAUCUUUCUCCCUUUUUCUUUCUUUCAUUCUGCGAUGACGCUACACUACACUAUAGCGGAUCGUUUUGAUGGAAAUUUUCGUGUAUACGUAGAUUGUAAUGAGUCUACGGAGUCUAGUCGACUAAAUUAAUUAGAAAGCUGUGUUUUGCUUUGUGACGGUAGCUUUUAAGUGAUAUUGAUUAUUCAUCAUAACAGAAACCGAAUGUUGCUAUGGUAUCACUUGAACGGUAUGAGUUCAGAUUGCACUCUAAUAAAAAAGGGGAGACUUUGCUAAGUAUGUUUAGAUAGAUGAUACACAUUUGAUGCCAUAGCUGGUAAGGUGGAUUAUCCCUAUUUAGAAUGAAGGUUCAAAAUCCAUUUUUUAUAAUGAACGGUUAUAUCCAGCUAUUGAGUAGCAUCGAUUUUGUUCGUUGAAAAAAAUACAUAUCAAUUUUUGGUAUUUUGGUGCUUGAUUAUUUUUUUAUUAGCUGAAUUUUUUGUUAUUUGGAAUUUAUUGUUUUCUGUUUGCUUUACUUGCCUGCUAAAGUUCAUUCACAGCAGCCGGUUGUGAAGUAAAUUGGAAAAGAAACUGAAAAGAAUUUCAUUGCUUUUUUAUUUAUGAUGUAUGCAAUGCACUCGAUUUGUAAGCAAUUCUGUGUUUGUAUUCUUUGUUUGGCUGAAGCUCUAGUUAAGCCAUAUUGUUGGGCCUAAGUAAAUUAAAUUUUCAAAAAAAAAUUAAUA
RNAcentral lists this long non-coding RNA (976 nucleotides) under Schizosaccharomyces pombe (fission yeast). Lineage: Eukaryota; Fungi; Ascomycota; Schizosaccharomycetes; Schizosaccharomycetales; Schizosaccharomycetaceae. The record is from RNAcentral.